Molecule: ribosomal RNA, 381 nt
Filed under: uncultured bacterium
Lineage: Bacteria
Description: bacterial SSU rRNA
Rfam family: Bacterial small subunit ribosomal RNA
Source: RNAcentral
UACGUAGGGUGCGAGCGUUAAUCGGAAUUACUGGGCGUAAAGCGUGCGCAGGCGGUUUGCUAAGACCGAUGUGAAAUCCCCGGGCUCAACCUGGGAACUGCAUUGGUGACUGGCAGGCUAGAGUAUGGCAGAGGGGGGUAGAAUUCCACGUGUAGCAGUGAAAUGCGUAGGGAUGUGGAGGAAUACCGAUGGCGAAGGCAGCCCCCUGGGCCAAUACUGACGCUCAUGCACGAAAGCGUGGGGAGCAAACAGGAUUAGAUACCCUGGUAGUCCACGCCCUAAACGAUGUCAACUAGUUGUUGGGGAUUCAUUUCCUUAGUAACGUAGCUAACGCGUGAAGUUGACCGCCUGGGGAGUACGGUCGCAAGAUUAAAACUCAAA